This 537-nucleotide ribosomal RNA is filed under the name uncultured Oceanospirillaceae bacterium. Its description in RNAcentral is "bacterial SSU rRNA". It matches the Rfam family "Bacterial small subunit ribosomal RNA", at positions 56 to 582 of the family's 1533-position model. Lineage: Bacteria; Pseudomonadati; Pseudomonadota; Gammaproteobacteria; Oceanospirillales; Oceanospirillaceae. The record is from RNAcentral.
UGCAAGUCGAGCGGUAACAGGAAUUAGCUUGCUAAUUUGCUGACGAGCGGCGGACGGGUGAGUAACGCGUAGGAAUCUGCCUGGUAGUGGGGGACAACAUGUGGAAACGCAUGCUAAUACCGCAUACGCCCUACGGGGGAAAGGAGGGGAUCUUCGGACCUUUCGCUAUCAGAUGAGCCUGCGUGAGAUUAGCUAGUUGGUGGGGCAAAGGCCCACCAAGGCGACGAUCUCUAGCUGGUCUGAGAGGAUGAUCAGCCACACUGGGACUGAGACGCGGCCCAGACUCCUACGGGAGGCAGCAGUGGGGAAUAUUGGACAAUGGGCGCAAGCCUGAUCCAGCCAUGCCGCGUGUGUGAAGAAGGCCUUCGGGUUGUAAAGCACUUUCAGAAGUGAGGAAGGGUGUAUAGUUAAUACCUGUAUAUCUUGACGUUAGCUUCAGAAGAAGCACCGGCUAACUCUGUGCCAGCAGCCGCGGUAAUACAGAGGGUGCGAGCGUUAAUCGGAAUUACUGGGCGUAAAGCGCGCGUAGGCGGUUUG